This 467-nucleotide ribosomal RNA is filed under the name uncultured bacterium. RNAcentral describes it as "partial 16S ribosomal RNA". It matches the Rfam family "Bacterial small subunit ribosomal RNA", at positions 28 to 507 of the family's 1533-position model. The record is from RNAcentral.
GACGAACGCUGGCGGCGUGCUUAACACAUGCAAGUCGAACGGAAAGGCCCUGCUUUUGUGGGGUGCUCGAGUGGCGAACGGGUGAGUAACACGUGAGUAACCUGCCCUUGACUUUGGGAUAACUUCAGGAAACUGGGGCUAAUACCGGAUAGGAGCCCCUGCUGCAUGGUGGGGUUGGAAAGUUUCGGCGGUUGGGGAUGGACUCGCGGCUUAUCAGCUUGUUGGUGGGGUAGUGGCUUACCAAGGCUUUGACGGGUAGCCGGCCUGAGAGGGUGACCGGCCACAUUGGGACUGAGAUACGGCCCAGACUCCUACGGGAGGCAGCAGUGGGGAAUAUUGCACAAUGGGCGGAAGCCUGAUGCAGCAACGCCGCGUGCGGGAUGACGGCCUUCGGGUUGUAAACCGCUUUCGCCUGUGACGAAGCGUGAGUGACGGUAAUGGGUAAAGAAGCACCGGCUAACUACGUG